RNAcentral lists this ribosomal RNA (263 nucleotides) under uncultured bacterium. Its description in RNAcentral is "partial 16S ribosomal RNA". It matches the Rfam family "Bacterial small subunit ribosomal RNA", at positions 76 to 339 of the family's 1533-position model. The record is from RNAcentral.
UUGCUUCCGAUGACGACGACCGGCGGAUGGGUGCGUAACGCGUAUGCAACUUGCCUCACAGAGGAGAAUAACCCGGAGAAAUCCGGACUAAUGCUCCAUACACUCUUGAGUACGCCUGUACAUGAGAGGAAAGAUUUAUCGCUGUGAGAUAGGCAUGCGUCCUAUUAGGUAGUUGGUGAGGUAACGGCUCACCAAGCCGACGAUAGGUAGGGGUGCUGAGAGGCAGAUCCCCCACAUUGGGACUGAGACACGGCCCAAACUCC